GGCAGAGGGCUGCAGAGGACAAAAAGGAGGAGGCUCGCCUUCGGAGAGCAGAGACGGGAGAAGGCAGACAGCGAGACUGCCCGAGGAACGGGAGGAGAGGGGAGGACAGGAGAUCCGAAGCUAAAAGCUCGGUCACAUCUAGACAGGACACAAUAUGAGGAAGGCAUAGAAACGCAAGCCAACACUGCCAGCGCCGAAAAAAAAUAAAUAAAUAACAACCGUGCUCUGAGCACCUCAAUGGGGCCGAAACCUGUCGGAGAAGGCACACAGCUGAGAAGGACCGCCUGCAACUUUUCCCCAGGCUCGGACAAGGGAUGUUCAGGAUGUACCAAAGACUCUUCACACUAGAGGCUGCAGUCACCUCCCAAGGAGCUGCCUCCUGCUCUGGCUGGUCAAACGGAACCAAGUCCGUCUUCCUGAGAGGUUUGGUCCCCUUCAACCAGCUACAGCAGGGCUGGCAAUGCCCAGUCCUUGGAGAAACAGAAGCAACUCACGUGUGGCUGAAAUUACCUGCUCAUACUUCCCUUAAGAAAACCACUCUGGUUUUGUUAUCAUAGUCUCAUGAGAGAAAAGAGGAGCCCUGGCUUCAAAAGUGAGAAAGAUGUGAAAGCUCAACACAGAGAGCUCUGUGCCUUUGUACCCACAACUAGACCCAGUCACACACUUGACAUACACAUCAAAGAUUUUAAGAAUGGAAAUUGUGCCAGCCCUGGGCCAGCCAGGGGGAAAACAUGAGACACACAAGACAGGGCCCCUGCUCAUAAGUGGUAACGGUCUAAGUAAAGAAAUUGGACAUAUAAAUAUGGCCCAACUUAACGGAAUUGCUAGUCAGAGCAUGGCUAGUUCCAAGACGCGAUUCUUCUUAUUUAGUCCACCAAACACACCUGGCACACUGUGUACCAUCAAGUUUCUAUGGAUCCAUUCAGCCCAAAAUAUCUAUUCCUUAAGACAUAUAUAUGUGAGUCAGUUUCCUGAUCUGUAGAAUGGGAAUAAUAAUCAUAGCACCUACCUCAUAUGGUUUUAUGUGGAAUGAAGUGAGAAUACAAGGAAAGGAGUUAGAAAGCUCUCAACAAUUGUUAUCUGUUAUUAAGAGGAGAUCCUGACCUGUCCUUCCAAUUUCUCUUUCAAGAUUUGUGUCUUUGACAGUGCACCUAGCAAUGUGCCCAGAACUUAGAUGUGCUCAGGAACAUUUGUUUGAAUUCCAGAAGCACAUGUGUUCACAAGCCAUCCUCUGACACAAUUACGCUCGUAUGAUGUGUAGAGCCCACUGCAGUAUCCACACAGGGAAGCCUGGGGCUCACUGGCAUGUACCUUGGAGGCAGGAAGCCUGGGUUUUAACUCUGCCCCUCUCAUUUGUUAGCUGUGAUAUAGCCUCUCUGAGCCUCCAUUAACAUUGUAUAAACCUUAGUUUCUUCAUCAUAAAAUGGGGACAACGACACUUAAAGUUAAGGAUUUCAAAAGAUAAUGUUUGUGAAGAGCCAAAUAUUAUUCCUCAAGAGAUGGUAGCUGCUGUUUUGUUGUUGUAAAUGGCAACAGCUCAAGGACAAUGUUGUGGCCACAGGUACCUGUAGCUAAAAGGGGAGGACUAGAUUUAAAACAAAAAAAAUAGAAAACCUCAAAAACUAAAACUUCAUUACAGGGUAUUUUUCUAUUCUAACUGUUAAUUCUACUGUCGUGUAGCAUGCAUUCAUCCUUGUAUAUGUUACUAGUAGGUAAUAAUUUUUACUAAAAAAAUACUUCACACAUGAGACCGACAGUAGCAUCUUAAAGAAACAUCUUGCCUGGAAAGCCUUCAUUUAUGAGCUGUUGAGAUGCUAGUCUGGAACCACGUGUCCUCCUGAGUACAUCAAGGCUUCAGAGUGGGUAUUCCAAAGGUGUGGAGUUUAGACAUAAGCAAUGGAGCCAGACUGCCUGGACUCAAAUCCCAACACCCUCACCCCCACCUGCUGUGCCACUUUGGGCAAGUUGCUUGACCUUUCAGGGCCUGCGUUUCCUCAUAUGUAGAACAGGGAUAUUAUUAAUAGUAUCUAUCUCAUAGGCUUUUCAUGAGAAUGAAAUGAAAAUACAUGAAAAGAUAUAAAACUGGUGCUGGGUACAUCAUAAGCUUAUAAGAGUUUUUGUCUUUGACAAUGUACCUGAAAUAUUCCUGAAACGAAAUUGGUGUUCAAUAAAAACUUAUUUAAUAAA
Long non-coding RNA from Equus caballus (horse), 2187 nucleotides. The record is from Ensembl. NCBI's taxonomy places the organism in Eukaryota, Metazoa, Chordata, Mammalia, Perissodactyla, Equidae.